This 445-nucleotide long non-coding RNA is filed under the name Homo sapiens (human). RNAcentral's name for it is "HSALNT0320089". The record is from RNAcentral. Lineage: Eukaryota; Metazoa; Chordata; Mammalia; Primates; Hominidae.
AGAAAUUUUAUUUUGGCCAGGAGCUGAAGUUGGUUGUUUAGUAGUAGUAGUUUGAGUAGUGACCGAAGUAGUAGUCUGGUGCAAGAGUAGUUGGGGAAGAAUUAGGUGUGGUAAUUGGGGCAGCUGUGGUCUCUUGUGGAGCUGGGGAAGACGGUGGAGCUGGUGUAGUUGCAGAAGGUGUGGGUGGGACAGCUGUGGUCUCUGGUGGAGCUGAGGAAGAUAGUGGAGCUGGUGUAGUUGCAGAAGGUGUGGGUGGGGCAGCUGUGGUCUCUGGUGGAGCUGAGGAAGAUGGUGGAGCUUGUGUAGUUGCAGAAGGUGUGGGUGGGGCAGCUGUGGUGUCUUGUGGAGCUGGGGAAUUCACUGGUGCUAAUGUAGGGUUGACCACACUGCUAUUUUUAUCUGGAUGUUUAGGUGGCUGGUGAGGAUUUGGGAAUUUGGGGGGGUU